Non-coding RNA from Cinara cedri, 229 nucleotides. The record is from the annotation of a GenBank genome assembly. NCBI's taxonomy places the organism in Eukaryota, Metazoa, Arthropoda, Insecta, Hemiptera, Aphididae.
CCUAACAAUCAACUUAAUACUAAUUAAAUGGAUAUCGAUCACCGAUUAUUAAGAAACUAAUUAAUUUCCAGCGGAUCCGAUAGAUUUUUAACCCAUUUACAAAUAAUUGGUGUUUAUGAUUUAGAACAGACAGUUUUUUUUGUUUUCUGAGUGUCAACCUAUUGUUUUUUAAACACUUCCAUACAUCGAAUAAAAAUUAUUAUUGAUAGUAGGUAUUGAUAGUAGCAAU